UGCAAUGCAACCAUUUUAUUUAUUAAUUUCACCAUCUUACACCUUUAAAAUGUGGAACCCUCAUUGUUUAAAAAAAAUUGGAACCUUCCAAUGUUAUUAUAAAUAAUCAGGUCUCGCACAAGACAAACAGAGACUGAUGAAAGAGGAACUACAUAGGCGCCGUAUAUAAACGGAAUCUAAAAAUAUCAAAAUAGACACUAACUAAUAGAGAUCUACUACUAAUAUCAUACUUAAAAAGACAUUAACUAAUAGAGGUCUACUUCUAAUAUCAUAAUUAGAAGACACACCCAUAAAGUUGCAGCUAGACACUAACUCCCAAUGUUAUUAUUAUAGUAGUAAUAAUAAUACCAUCAAUCAAUUAGCACAACAAUUACAAUUACACGAAUAGUCGUCGUGACAUUUUCCAGUUGCAUGUACUGUAUUGCAUUCAAUCUUGCAAUAUACUUUGCAAAUCAAAACCUCCCAUUUACGACAGAAAUGAGAUUUAAUGAUUGAACAUGGUUUUGCCUCGAUCAUCAUCAUUUGAUUUCCUGCAAUAAAUAGCCAACCGGACAUAAACAUCGUUAGUAAAACAUCACUAACUCAUAAAACUUUAAAUUAUACAACAAAAAAAAAAUCAAUAAUAAUAUUUCAUACCAAAAUUCAUCGAGAUAACAAGCAAAAGAAUGGAAAAACA
RNAcentral lists this long non-coding RNA (676 nucleotides) under Trifolium pratense (red clover). RNAcentral describes it as "long non-coding RNA (TPRA_LNC006690)". Lineage: Eukaryota; Viridiplantae; Streptophyta; Magnoliopsida; Fabales; Fabaceae. The record is from RNAcentral.